Drosophila miranda is the source of this 13128-nucleotide long non-coding RNA. RefSeq lists it as uncharacterized. The transcript is spliced from 5 exons. The record is from RefSeq and is a predicted model, not a curated record. NCBI's taxonomy places the organism in Eukaryota, Metazoa, Arthropoda, Insecta, Diptera, Drosophilidae.
AUUUAUAUCGCUAAAAUGAUCUUAUUCCAAAGGUCCACUCACUUCAGAUGAGAUCAAGCGCUGAACUCAUUUAUUUAUACAAAAAAUUCAGCUUUCGCACUUCCUCAAGGAAUACAAUGCGCUCAGUUUAAAUAAGCCUCUUCCAACAGAAGCAACCUUCGUUCUUUGUGCCCAUUAUUGGAUGCCAAGGGACUCUUAAACAUCGGCGUUCGUCUUCAGAACUCAGACUUGGAAUAUGAAGCAAAGCAUCCGUUAUUGUAGCCUAAACGCUACUCAGUCACCGCAGAAAUAAUUACACAUUAUCAUCUAAAAUUUCUUCAUGCCGGUUUGCAAUUUUUCCUAGCAACGCUCCGUAAGCGAUACUGGCCUUUUGGAGGCCUCAAGUCUGUAUCGAAUAUCAUCAACAAAUGCGUGCGCUGCUUUCGCAUGCGACCUAAACUUCUGGACCAAAUCAUGGCCCUAUUACAAAGUGAGUGUGUGCAUCAAAUUUUGCGGUCCAUUUUAAAUCAGAAGUCAGGAAUCGCUCGCCAACGAAAUGCGACAUCUCAAUAUGAUUUGCAACGGUCGGCAGCAACGUGCUGCUGAAGGAGGACAAUGCACCAGGUGGCCACCUGGUCAAGUCGACAGCGCAAUUUCUGUGGAUGACGGCAUCGGAGAGUAACAGUCAUUCGUGCAGAAAAUGGUCUGGUCAAAAGAGCCAUUUCCAAAAUCGCCAUCCUGCCAAUCGAGCCGACCUCGGUUGAAAGUUUGAAUCCUUCAACGGGGGAGCAAUUUCGCAGCAAACCUAAAAUAUAUUAUUACUUCCAAAAAUCCCGACAUUGAAGUCACAUAGAAUAAUUUUAAGGUAACACUAUUGUUCCAAUAGUAGUUAUCGAUAUAAUUUUUAUUGGUACGGAAGUAAAGUACAUCAAUACUGCAGUCUGAAGGCUCUUAUUUUUUUGAUUUAAAUUUGAAAUUCAAGGGCCGAACUGGGGUGCAAAAUACUAGCUCCUCAAAAUAAACUCAGAAAAUUAUCAUAGAACUCCUUAGGUGUGCGGUUCAACAGAUCUGGCAGCUUUUGGAUGCAAUCGCUAGACUUUGGUACUUUCACCAAACAUGGAAGAAGCCAAUUAUAUUGAUGAUUACUAAGCCAGGAUAAGACAAAACGCAGCCAUCGUUGUACAGACCAACAGACCUGCUUAUUUGUUUUUUCCAUGAUAUUUGAAAAAGUUCUCCUGCUGCGCAUCUGCCCAUACAUCCAAACUAGCAACAUUGUACCAUACCAUAAUACCAAUUCGGUUUUCGAGAAAAGGACUGAUUAAGCAGGUCAACCGCAUCACGUCAGAGAUUCAUACGGCAUUUGACGGAAAUAUUGUACGGCACGAUUCCUGGAAUUCCUAGACUGCCUUAUGUACAAAAUAACAAAGCUGCUUUCACAAAACACAAAUCUCUAAAAUAGUCUUUGCGAUGAGAGGCAACCUCAAAUGGUCGCAUAAUAAAAGCUGGAGUGCCCCAAGGCAGCGUUCUCGGACCUCCAUGUCUUGUACACCGAGGAUAUACCUACAAGUAACCAGGUAACAACCUCAACGUUUGUUGAUGACACCGCGAUUCUUAGUCGCUCCAGAUGCCCAGUAAAGGCAACUGCCCAAUUAGCCUGCCAUCUAUUUACUGUGGAGAGAUGGUUUUAGUUGAGUCUCAACAAACAAAGCUGUUCUCUUUUGGUUUUAAGCAAUGCACGCGUCUCACAAGGUAACGAUGUAGUUUACCUGGCCGUCCAUUUAGACAGACAGCUCACCUGGCGCAAGCACAUAGAAGCCAAGAAGAAGUAUUUUACAAUAAAAGAAAGUAAUCUCCACUGGCUAAUAAGCGUUCGCUCUUCCCUAAUCUUGGACUAUAAUGUCCUCAUGUACAACUCCGUGCUGAAAUUUAUCUGGACCUAUGGCUCCGACCAACGUCGACAUUACCCAGCAAGCACACUUGUGAAUCCUAAGAACCAUUACUCUGGCAUGGUAUCUCCGUAAGGAGAAUAUUAAACUCGUUAAAAAGGGAAAACCAAAAAGCAAAGCUCGCUUCCUAUACAAAAAGCUGAAAAUGCCGUUCCACCUUGAUAAACCGUAUGGGUACGGAUUACCAGAGUAGCUUUCCGGAUUGUUGGUAGGUAGUUUAGGAAAAUUUGGCAAAGAGAUUGGCCAUUGCGUGAUCAUUAUUUGAAGAUAGCAAGGAUGGGUGUGCGGACGGUCUAGACUUACUGUUUACGAAGCUGUAUAACUGUUUAGAGUCUUGAGAAAAACGUAUAAAAUACAUUUGUAACAGUGCGAUAUCACAGGAGUCCGGAUACAAAAUGUGUUUGCUCCAGCUCUUGUAGUCUUAUAGUAAAUCAUUACCAGGAUUAAUCACUCAAAACUAGGUACUCUCGAGGUACACUUGUUUUGAAAUCUUACCAUUCGAGACAUGGUGUGCCGACAUUAGACACAUUUAUUUCUCAUUCAAUAAUUCAGAGGCGAUUGGGAAAGAGAAAUGUGGAGACUUUGAAUGGGAUGCGACUAUAAAGGAAUUCAAAAUAUUUUGAUGAAGAAACUUCCUUUUAACACAUUAGAAGAGAAGGAACUAAGUUCGUGAGGAUAGGAAAACUGAUCUGACGAUGCGAUCGUUAUUCUUUUUUAAAAGGCAGCAACGAGGGGCCGCGGGUAAAUUUAACCGUUCGACUAAGAAGCACCGUUCAAGAGACUGGCAGCUGUAAUACUUGGAACCGAUACAAGACACCCGAUACUCAACCUCUACUAUUAUGCUAAUAUAAAAUAUAUUUUGUUCUUACCGAAAAUAUUUCCGGUGUUAGGAAUAUAAAAUAGAGAAUUGGUUUUAUACUUUUUUUAAAUCACACGUUUGUAACGAUUUUUCGGUAAUUUUGAUCAAACGUGAAAAAAAAUUAAAUUAGAAUAGAACAAAUUAAUGGGAUAAGGAAAGAUCAUGUUAUUCUUAACCAAGCCUCAGGAUUGGUUGCAAAAAAAUUUUAGUUCGAACUAUACACCGCCUUAUAAAGGAGAUGGGCUUAAUGCCAAGGACACUUGCGAAAAAGUCACUUCUAAAUAGUCAAAUUAAGAAAGCUCGCUUAAAUUGGUCUAAAGAAAAAUCAAAUUGUGUUGAAUCUGAGUGGUCACGAAACAUUUUGUUGGAUGAGACUGAUGGUAAAAAUAUGGGGAUGCAUAUCUAAAUAUACAACUGAAUCACUAAUAAUGAUUAAAGGUAUGGUACAUACAAAAAAGUGGCCAGUUGUUGUGCCCAGUAUGAAAUCAAUUGCUGAGAGGGAAAAAGAUUCCAUCUGGUCUUGGCAGCUGAACAGCUCUGGCUUGAAGAAUGUAGGGACACAGCAGCUACGCAACAUGACACCCGCUUCAGCAGAUUGAUGCGGUGGCGACUGCGCAGUCCUACGCUUGUAUUAAUACCUGAAACCACGAAUUUCCUGCUGUGGGCAUGCUAAGAGCCACUCAGGAGUAUUUAUACCUUGCCGUGCCUUGCUUGACUCUGGUUUUCAGCUCAACUUUAUCAGUGCUCGUCUUGCUAAGCAACUGCAACUCAAAAUUCAUCAUGUAGCCGUCUCCAUAUCUGGUAUAGACGAAGCAACCCUAUUUUCUAACAUGUCCGCUGACAUUUCAGCACAGUCACGUGACAGAUUCAGCACAAAAUUUUUUGCACAUCAUUCGUACGAUGACGGAUUCAACCUUACUUUGGAUAAGAUAUCUCAGAAUAGAAUAUCCCCAAAAACAUCGCGCUGGCGGAUCCAACGUUUUUCAAAUCCUAAAGAAUAGAUUUGUUACUUGCCGGACAAUUUUUCGAUCUCAUUUGCAUCGGCCAAAUUCGAAUAGCGGAUAACCUACCAAAGCUCUAAAAGAUCAAGCUCGGAUCAAGCUCAAAAUGAAAAGAUAAGGAAGUACAGUAGCGUAUGGAACUAAAACUGCUUCGUUUCUAGCAAUUCGAGCAAUGAAACAGCUAACCUACGAUGAAGAGCUUACCUUUCUAUUAGCUGCACAUAGAUUUGUCGAGCAUUCUACAUAGACGAUUUAAUCUGAGGAGGGGACUCUAUCGAAGAAGGCAUUCGAAUCCGCCAGCAAGUAAAACUGCUGCUGAUAUAGGAAAACUUUCCAAUCAGGAAAUGAUGCUCGAACGAUCCUGAUGCCUUGAAAGGAGAAAGAUAAUCCGAUUGUGAGAAGGUUUGGCAUAAUGCCCUAGUUCUGAUUGGCUGCUCUUCAAUUUUUUCGGAAGUACCAGUCACAAGGCUCAGCGUAUUAUCGAUGAAAGCUAGAUUCUACGAUCCUCUAGGAUUGAUCGCGCCCAUCAUUACCAGGUUGAAGGGAAUAUCGGAAAUCCUGGAGCGCACGAAGAGCAUGACCUGGCAUUAUCUGGCCUCCCAGCUGAAGCCUACGUACAUUUUAUCGCGUGGAAGCACUCCUCUGGAACUUUUGGACACACAGCUGUGGCACAAUAGACUCUCAUUCAUACGGUCCAAUAGCUCGAAUUGUGUGUGGCAACUUGUUAAUUCUACAAGUCAUUUGCUAAGGUCCACUCACUUCAGAUGAGAUCAAGCGCUGAACUCAUUUAUUUAUACAAAAAAUUCAGCUUUCGCACUUCCUCAAGGAAUACAAUGCGCUCAGUUUAAAUAAGCCUCUUCCAACAGAAGCAACCUUCGUUCUUUGUGCCCAUUAUUGGAUGCCAAGGGACUCUUAAACAUCGGCGUUCGUCUUCAGAACUCAGACUUGGAAUAUGAAGCAAAGCAUCCGUUAUUGUAGCCUAAACGCUACUCAGUCACCGCAGAAAUAAUUACACAUUAUCAUCUAAAAUUUCUUCAUGCCGGUUUGCAAUUUUUCCUAGCAACGCUCCGUAAGCGAUACUGGCCUUUUGGAGGCCUCAAGUCUGUAUCGAAUAUCAUCAACAAAUGCGUGCGCUGCUUUCGCAUGCGACCUAAACUUCUGGACCAAAUCAUGGCCCUAUUACAAAGUGAGUGUGUGCAUCAAAUUUUGCGGUCCAUUUUAAAUCAGAAGUCAGGAAUCGCUCGCCAACGAAAUGCGACAUCUCAAUAUGAUUUGCAACGGUCGGCAGCAACGUGCUGCUGAAGGAGGACAAUGCACCAGGUGGCCACCUGGUCAAGUCGACAGCGCAAUUUCUGUGGAUGACGGCAUCGGAGAGUAACAGUCAUUCGUGCAGAAAAUGGUCUGGUCAAAAGAGCCAUUUCCAAAAUCGCCAUCCUGCCAAUCGAGCCGACCUCGGUUGAAAGUUUGAAUCCUUCAACGGGGGAGCAAUUUCGCAGCAAACCUAAAAUAUAUUAUUACUUCCAAAAAUCCCGACAUUGAAGUCACAUAGAAUAAUUUUAAGGUAACACUAUUGUUCCAAUAGUAGUUAUCGAUAUAAUUUUUAUUGGUACGGAAGUAAAGUACAUCAAUACUGCAGUCUGAAGGCUCUUAUUUUUUUGAUUUAAAUUUGAAAUUCAAGGGCCGAACUGGGGUGCAAAAUACUAGCUCCUCAAAAUAAACUCAGAAAAUUAUCAUAGAACUCCUUAGGUGUGCGGUUCAACAGAUCUGGCAGCUUUUGGAUGCAAUCGCUAGACUUUGGUACUUUCACCAAACAUGGAAGAAGCCAAUUAUAUUGAUGAUUACUAAGCCAGGAUAAGACAAAACGCAGCCAUCGUUGUACAGACCAACAGACCUGCUUAUUUGUUUUUUCCAUGAUAUUUGAAAAAGUUCUCCUGCUGCGCAUCUGCCCAUACAUCCAAACUAGCAACAUUGUACCAUACCAUAAUACCAAUUCGGUUUUCGAGAAAAGGACUGAUUAAGCAGGUCAACCGCAUCACGUCAGAGAUUCAUACGGCAUUUGACGGAAAUAUUGUACGGCACGAUUCCUGGAAUUCCUAGACUGCCUUAUGUACAAAAUAACAAAGCUGCUUUCACAAAACACAAAUCUCUAAAAUAGUCUUUGCGAUGAGAGGCAACCUCAAAUGGUCGCAUAAUAAAAGCUGGAGUGCCCCAAGGCAGCGUUCUCGGACCUCCAUGUCUUGUACACCGAGGAUAUACCUACAAGUAACCAGGUAACAACCUCAACGUUUGUUGAUGACACCGCGAUUCUUAGUCGCUCCAGAUGCCCAGUAAAGGCAACUGCCCAAUUAGCCUGCCAUCUAUUUACUGUGGAGAGAUGGUUUUAGUUGAGUCUCAACAAACAAAGCUGUUCUCUUUUGGUUUUAAGCAAUGCACGCGUCUCACAAGGUAACGAUGUAGUUUACCUGGCCGUCCAUUUAGACAGACAGCUCACCUGGCGCAAGCACAUAGAAGCCAAGAAGAAGUAUUUUACAAUAAAAGAAAGUAAUCUCCACUGGCUAAUAAGCGUUCGCUCUUCCCUAAUCUUGGACUAUAAUGUCCUCAUGUACAACUCCGUGCUGAAAUUUAUCUGGACCUAUGGCUCCGACCAACGUCGACAUUACCCAGCAAGCACACUUGUGAAUCCUAAGAACCAUUACUCUGGCAUGGUAUCUCCGUAAGGAGAAUAUUAAACUCGUUAAAAAGGGAAAACCAAAAAGCAAAGCUCGCUUCCUAUACAAAAAGCUGAAAAUGCCGUUCCACCUUGAUAAACCGUAUGGGUACGGAUUACCAGAGUAGCUUUCCGGAUUGUUGGUAGGUAGUUUAGGAAAAUUUGGCAAAGAGAUUGGCCAUUGCGUGAUCAUUAUUUGAAGAUAGCAAGGAUGGGUGUGCGGACGGUCUAGACUUACUGUUUACGAAGCUGUAUAACUGUUUAGAGUCUUGAGAAAAACGUAUAAAAUACAUUUGUAACAGUGCGAUAUCACAGGAGUCCGGAUACAAAAUGUGUUUGCUCCAGCUCUUGUAGUCUUAUAGUAAAUCAUUACCAGGAUUAAUCACUCAAAACUAGGUACUCUCGAGGUACACUUGUUUUGAAAUCUUACCAUUCGAGACAUGGUGUGCCGACAUUAGACACAUUUAUUUCUCAUUCAAUAAUUCAAAGGCGAUUGGGAAAGAGAAAUGUGGAGACUUUGAAUGGGAUGCGACUAUAAAGGAAUUCAAAAUAUUUUGAUGAAGAAACUUCCUUUUAACACAUUAGAAGAGAAGGAACUAAGUUCGUGAGGAUAGGAAAACUGAUCUGACGAUGCGAUCGUUAUUCUUUUUUAAAAGGCAGCAACGAGGGGCCGCGGGUAAAUUUAACCGUUCGACUAAGAAGCACCGUUCAAGAGACUGGCAGCUGUAAUACUUGGAACCGAUACAAGACACCCGAUACUCAACCUCUACUAUUAUGCUAAUAUAAAAUAUAUUUUGUUCUUACCGAAAAUAUUUCCGGUGUUAGGAAUAUAAAAUAGAGAAUUGGUUUUAUACUUUUUUUAAAUCACACGUUUGUAACGAUUUUUCGGUAAUUUUGAUCAAACGUGAAAAAAAAUUAAAUUAGAAUAGAACAAAUUAAUGGGAUAAGGAAAGAUCAUGUUAUUCUUAAACAAGCCUCAGGAUUGGUUGCAAAAAAAAUUUUAGUUCAAACUAUACACCGCCUUAUAAAGGAGAUGGGCUUAAUGCCAAGGACACUUGCGAAAAAGUCACUUCUAAAUAGUCAAAUUAAGAAAGCUCGCUUAAAUUGGUCUAAAGAAAAAUCAAAUUGUGUUGAAUCUGAGUGGUCACGAAACAUUUUGUUGGAUGAGACUGAUGGUAAAAAUAUGGGGAUGCAUAUCUAAAUAUACAACUGAAUCACUAAUAAUGAUUAAAGGUAUGGUACAUACAAAAAAGUGGCCAGUUGUUGUGCCCAGUAUGAAAUCAAUUGCUGAGAGGGAAAAAGAUUCCAUCUGGUCUUGGCAGCUGAACAGCUCUGGCUUGAAGAAUGUAGGGACACAGCAGCUACGCAACAUGACACCCGCUUCAGCAGAUUGAUGCGGUGGCGACUGCGCAGUCCUACGCUUGUAUUAAUACCUGAAACCACGAAUUUCCUGCUGUGGGCAUGCUAAGAGCCACUCAGGAGUAUUUAUACCUUGCCGUGCCUUGCUUGACUCUGGUUUUCAGCUCAACUUUAUCAGUGCUCGUCUUGCUAAGCAACUCCAACUCAAAAUUCAUCAUGUAGCCGUCUCCAUAUCUGGUAUAGACGAAGCAACCCUAUUUUCUAACAUGUCCGCUGACAUUUCAGCACAGUCACGUGACAGAUUCAGCACAAAAUUUUUUGCACAUCAUUCGUACGAUGACGGAUUCAACCUUACUUUGGAUAAGAUAUCUCAGAAUAGAAUAUCCCCAAAAACAUCGCGCUGGCGGAUCCAACGUUUUUCAAAUCCUAAAGAAUAGAUUUGUUACUUGCCGGACAAUUUUUCGAUCUCAUUUGCAUCGGCCAAAUUCGAAUAGCGGAUAACCUACCAAAGCUCUAAAAGAUCAAGCUCGGAUCAAGCUCAAAAUGAAAAGAUAAGGAAGUACAGUAGCGUAUGGAACUAAAACUGCUUCGUUUCUAGCAAUUCGAGCAAUGAAACAGCUAACCUACGAUGAAGAGCUUACCUUUCUAUUAGCUGCACAUAGAUUUGUCGAGCAUUCUACAUAGACGAUUUAAUCUGAGGAGGGGACUCUAUCGAAGAAGGCAUUCGAAUCCGCCAGCAAGUAAAACUGCUGCUGAUAUAGGAAAACUUUCCAAUCAGGAAAUGAUGCUCGAACGAUCCUGAUGCCUUGAAAGGAGAAAGAUAAUCCGAUUGUGAGAAGGUUUGGCAUAAUGCCCUAGUUCUGAUUGGCUGCUCUUCAAUUUUUUCGGAAGUACCAGUCACAAGGCUCAGCGUAUUAUCGAUGAAAGCUAGAUUCUACGAUCCUCUAGGAUUGAUCGCGCCCAUCAUUACCAGGUUGAAGGGAAUAUCGGAAAUCCUGGAGCGCACGAAGAGCAUGACCUGGCAUUAUCUGGCCUCCCAGCUGAAGCCUACGUACAUUUUAUCGCGUGGAAGCACUCCUCUGGAACUUUUGGACACACAGCUGUGGCACAAUAGACUCUCAUUCAUACAGUCCAAUAGCUCGAAUCGAAGGUCCACUCACUUCAGAUGAGAUCAAGCGCUGAACUCAUUUAUUUAUACAAAAAAUUCAGCUUUCGCACUUCCUCAAGGAAUACAAUGCGCUCAGUUUAAAUAAGCCUCUUCCAACAGAAGCAACCUUCGUUCUUUGUGCCCAUUAUUGGAUGCCAAGGGACUCUUAAACAUCGGCGUUCGUCUUCAGAACUCAGACUUGGAAUAUGAAGCAAAGCAUCCGUUAUUGUAGCCUAAACGCUACUCAGUCACCGCAGAAAUAAUUACACAUUAUCAUCUAAAAUUUCUUCAUGCCGGUUUGCAAUUUUUCCUAGCAACGCUCCGUAAGCGAUACUGGCCUUUUGGAGGCCUCAAGUCUGUAUCGAAUAUCAUCAACAAAUGCGUGCGCUGCUUUCGCAUGCGACCUAAACUUCUGGACCAAAUCAUGGCCCUAUUACAAAGUGAGUGUGUGCAUCAAAUUUUGCGGUCCAUUUUAAAUCAGAAGUCAGGAAUCGCUCGCCAACGAAAUGCGACAUCUCAAUAUGAUUUGCAACGGUCGGCAGCAACGUGCUGCUGAAGGAGGACAAUGCACCAGGUGGCCACCUGGUCAAGUCGACAGCGCAAUUUAUGUGGAUGACGGCAUCGGAGAGUAACAGUCAUUCGUGCAGAAAAUGGUCUGGUCAAAAGAGCCAUUUCCAAAAUCGCCAUCCUGCCAAUCGAGCCGACCUCGGUUGAAAGUUUGAAUCCUUCAACGGGGGAGCAAUUUCGCAGCAAACCUAAAAUAUAUUAUUACUUCCAAAAAUCCCGACAUUGAAGUCACAUAGAAUAAUUUUAAGGUAACACUAUUGUUCCAAUAGUAGUUCUCGAUAUAAUUUUUAUUGGUACGGAAGUAAAGCACAUCAAUACUGCAGUCUGAAGGCUCUUAUUUUUUUGAUUUAAAUUUGAAAUUCAAGGGCCGAACUGGGGUGCAAAAUACUAGCUCCUCAAAAUAAACUCAGAAAAUUAUCAUAGAACUCCUUAGGUGUGCGGUUCAACAGAUCUGGCAGCUUUUGGAUGCAAUCGCUAGACUUUGGUACUUUCACCAAACAUGGAAGAAGCCAAUUAUAUUGAUGAUUACUAAGCCAGGAUAAGACAAAACGCAGCCAUCGUUGUACAGAGCAACAGACCUGCUUAUUUGUUUUUUCCAUGAUAUUUGAAAAAGUUCUCCUGCUGCGCAUCUGCCCAUACAUCCAAACUAGCAACAUUGUACCAUACCAUAAUACCAAUUCGGUUUUCGAGAAAAGGACUGAUUAAGCAGGUCAACCGCAUCACGUCAGAGAUUCAUACGGCAUUUGACGGAAAUAUUGUACGGCACGAUUCCUGGAAUUCCUAGACUGCCUUAUGUACAAAAUAACAAAGCUGCUUUCACAAAACACAAAUCUCUAAAAUAGUCUUUGCGAUGAGAGGCAACCUCAAAUGGUCGCAUAAUAAAAGCUGGAGUGCCCCAAGGCAGCGUUCUCGGACCUCCAUGUCUUGUACACCGAGGAUAUACCUACAAGUAACCAGGUAACAACCUCAACGUUUGUUGAUGACACCGCGAUUCUUAGUCGCUCCAGAUGCCCAGUAAAGGCAACUGCCCAAUUAGCCUGCCAUCUAUUUACUGUGGAGAGAUGGUUUUAGUUGAGUCUCAACAAACAAAGCUGUUCUCUUUUGGUUUUAAGCAAUGCACGCGUCUCACAAGGUAACGAUGUAGUUUACCUGGCCGUCCAUUUAGACAGACAGCUCACCUGGCGCAAGCACAUAGAAGCCAAGAAGAAGUAUUUUACAAUAAAAGAAAGUAAUCUCCACUGGCUAAUAAGCGUUCGCUCUUCCCUAAUCUUGGACUAUAAUGUCCUCAUGUACAACUCCGUGCUGAAAUUUAUCUGGACCUAUGGCUCCGACCAACGUCGACAUUACCCAGCAAGCACACUUGUGAAUCCUAAGAACCAUUACUCUGGCAUGGUAUCUCCGUAAGGAGAAUAUUAAACUCGUUAAAAAGGGAAAACCAAAAAGCAAAGCUCGCUUCCUAUACAAAAAGCUGAAGAUGCCGUUCCACCUUGAUAAACCGUAUGGGUACGGAUUACCAGAGUAGCUUUCCGGAUUGUUGGUAGGUAGUUUAGGAAAAUUUGGCAAAGAGAUUGGCCAUUGCGUGAUCAUUAUUUGAAGAUAGCAAGGAUGGGUGUGCGGACGGUCUAGACUUACUGUUUACGAAGCUGUAUAACUGUUUAGAGUCUUGAGAAAAACGUAUAAAAUACAUUUGUAACAGUGCGAUAUCACAGGAGUCCGGAUACAAAAUGUGUUUGCUCCAGCUCUUGUAGUCUUAUAGUAAAUCAUUACCAGGAUUAAUCACUCAAAACUAGGUACUCUCGAGGUACACUUGUUUUGAAAUCUUACCAUUCGAGACAUGGUGUGCCGACAUUAGACACAUUUAUUUCUCAUUCAAUAAUUCAGAGGCGAUUGGGAAAGAGAAAUGUGGAGACUUUGAAUGGGAUGCGACUAUAAAGGAAUUCAAAAUAUUUUGAUAAAGAAACUUCCUUUUAACACAUUAGAAGAGAAGGAACUAAGUUCGUGAGGAUAGGAAAACUGAUCUGACGAUGCGAUCGUUAUGCUUUUUUAAAAGGCAGCAACGAGGGGCCGCGGGUAAAUUUAACCGUUCGACUAAGAAGCACCGUUCAAGAGACUGGCAGCUGUAAUACUUGGAACCGAUACAAGACAUCUAGUUCCAUUGAAUGAAAGCAUAGAGCGGUGGAAUGCAGUCGCUUCCAAUUUGGAUAUUGAUAGAAUAAAGGCCCAAAAAGAUCUAGGAACUACACCGACUCCGAUAUUUCAUGAAUUGUUUACUUCUGCGGCAUGGAGAUUCCCCAAAUGUUAUCCGAUUCGUGUAAUUUUUUUAGUGUCAAUAAAUCAAUUCCUGACAAAUUAAAUACUACAUUUUUUGAUGUCAUGUUCAUACAUUUAAACGAAAAAUUUCCAAAUAACUCCUUGUUCAACCAUCAUGUAGUAAUUUGAGCAAACGGAGGAAAAAAAUGAAUUAAAAUUAAAAAAAAAAACGAUUUCUUUAACAUAAACAAAAUUGUAACCAAUAGGUUAUUUUAUUUUCUAUAAGGCCCUAGACAUUCUCUAUCGGAUUGAAGUCGGGGCUGUUAGAUGGCCAAUCUAAGGCCCCAUUCCGGCUUCAAAAUUGUAAUCUGUCGUAGAAAAAUAAUCGAAACUAGUUAGAAUGUAUUUUCAAUAAUACCAAAACGUCAUAGAAUCACUGACAGAGUGAUGAUGACAAGGUACAGAAUAUUCCUGAAAGAUGGAAUCUUUUUCCCUCUCAGCAAUUGAUUUCAUACUGGGCACAACAACUGGCCACUUUUUUGUAUGUACCAUACCUUUAAUCAUUAUUAGUGAUUCAGUUGUAUAUUUAGAUAUGCAUCCCCAUAUUUUUACCAUCAGUCUCAUCCAACAAAAUGUUUCGUGACCACUCAGAUUCAACACAAUUUUAUUUUUCUUUAGACCAAUUUAAGCGAGCUUUCUUAAUUUGACUAUUUAGAAGUGACUUUUUCGCAAGUGUCCUUUCGCAAGCCCAUCUCCUUUAUAAGGCGGUGUAUAGUUCGAACUAAAAUUUUUUUUGCAACCAAUCCUGAGGCUUGUUUAAGAAUAACAUGAUCUUUCCUUAUCCCAUUAAUUUGUUCUAUUCUAAUUUAAUUUUUUUUCACGUUUGAUCAAAAUUACCGAAAAAUCGUUACAAACGUGUGAUUUAAAAAAAGUAUAAAACCAAUUCUCUAUUUUAUAUUCCUAACACCGGAAAUAUGUUCGGUAAGAACAAAAUAUAUUUUAUAUUAGCAUAAUAGUAGAGGUUGAGUAUCGGGUGUCUUGGGUGAUCUACUGGCAUUGGUGUGAUUUUAAAUACGAAGAGGUUUAUUUUCUUUCUGUAGAAAUAUAAAAUGGCAUGUUACUUUAAAAUCCGAUAGCUCUCUUUGAAGUUAUUAUAAACCCCAAUAUUUUUUUUAAGUUUAAAAGUACCAUCUGUAGAUGUUAAAUAGAAUUAUAAAAUAAUUAUAUAUACAGUACAUCUUCAUAAAGCCUAUAUUAACGUACGAAAAUGAGUAGCCCAACACUAGUUGUUAUCUCUAUUCUACGUUUUUGGU